RNAcentral lists this ribosomal RNA (166 nucleotides) under Mammaliicoccus lentus. RNAcentral's name for it is "partial 16S ribosomal RNA". It matches the Rfam family "Bacterial small subunit ribosomal RNA", at positions 60 to 216 of the family's 1533-position model. The record is from RNAcentral. Lineage: Bacteria; Bacillati; Bacillota; Bacilli; Caryophanales; Staphylococcaceae.
AUGCAGUCGAGCGAACAGAUGAGGAGCUUGCUUCUUUGAUGUUAGCGGCGGACGGGUGAGUAACACGUGGGUAACCUACCUAUAAGACUGGGAUAACUCCGGGAAACCGGGGCUAAUGCCGGAUAAUAUAUUGAACCGCAUGGUUCAAUGUUGAAAGACGGUUUCG